RNAcentral lists this ribosomal RNA (327 nucleotides) under uncultured eukaryote. RNAcentral's name for it is "partial 18S ribosomal RNA". It matches the Rfam family "Eukaryotic small subunit ribosomal RNA", at positions 1470 to 1796 of the family's 1831-position model. The record is from RNAcentral.
CCCUUAGAUGUCCGGGGCCGCACGCGCGCUACAAUGGAUGAAUCAACGCGUCAUCCUGGCCCGAAAGGGUUGGGGAACCGCUGAACCUCAUCCGUGGUUGGGGUUGGGGUUUGUAAUUAUUCCCCAUGAACUAGGAAUUCCCAGUAAGCGCGAGUCAUAAGCUCGCGUUGAUUACGUCCCUGCCCUUUGUACACACCGCCCGUCGCUACUACCGAUUGGAUGGUUUAGUGAGAUCCUCGGAUUGGUCACGGCACGGUGGCAACACUGCGUCGGUGUGCCGAGAAGACGAUCAAACUUGAUCAUCUAGAGGAAGUAAAAGUCGUAACA